CAGUCGCCGCGGUAAUACGGAGGAUCCAAGCGUUAUCCGGAUUUAUUGGGUUUAAAGGGUGCGUAGGUGGCUUAUUAAGUCAGGGGUGAAAGACGGUAGCUUAACUAUCGCAGUGCCUUUGAUACUGAUGAGCUUGAAUGAACUAGAGGUAGGCGGAAUGUGACAAGUAGCGGUGAAAUGCAUAGAUAUGUCACAGAACACCAAUUGCGAAGGCAGCUUACUAUGGUUUUAUUGACACUGAGGCACGAAAGCGUGGGGAUCAAACAGGAUUAGAUACCCCUGUAGUCCCUGUCUCUUAUAA
This 301-nucleotide ribosomal RNA is filed under the name uncultured bacterium. RNAcentral's name for it is "partial 16S ribosomal RNA". It matches the Rfam family "Bacterial small subunit ribosomal RNA", at positions 509 to 809 of the family's 1533-position model. The record is from RNAcentral.